Molecule: transfer RNA, 70 nt
Filed under: Dipodomys ordii (Ord's kangaroo rat)
Lineage: Eukaryota; Metazoa; Chordata; Mammalia; Rodentia; Heteromyidae
Rfam family: tRNA
About the family: Transfer RNA (tRNA) molecules are approximately 80 nucleotides in length. Their secondary structure includes four short double-helical elements and three loops (D, anti-codon, and T loops). Further hydrogen bonds mediate the characteristic L-shaped molecular structure. tRNAs have two regions of fundamental functional importance: the anti-codon, which is responsible for specific mRNA codon recognition, and the 3' end, to which the tRNAs corresponding amino acid is attached (by aminoacyl-tRNA synthetases). tRNAs cope with the degeneracy of the genetic code in two manners: having more than one tRNA (with a specific anti-codon) for a particular amino acid; and 'wobble' base-pairing, i.e. permitting non-standard base-pairing at the 3rd anti-codon position.
Source: Rfam by way of RNAcentral
GGGAAUGAAGUUUAGUGGUAGAGUGCUUGCCUAGCAUGCAUGAAGUCCUGGGUUCAAUUCCUUAGUCCCA